UACAGAGGGCUCAAGCGUUGUUCGGAUUCAUUGGGCGUAAAGGGUGUGUAGGUGGCGCGCUAAGUCGGGUGUGAAAUUUCGGAGCUUAACUCCGAAACUGCAUUCGAUACUGGCGUGCUUGAGGACUGGAGAGGAGACUGGAAUUCAUGGUGUAGCAGUGAAAUGCGUAGAGAUCAUGAGGAAGACCAGUGGCGAAGGCGGGUCUCUGGACAGCUACUGACACUGAGACACGAAGGCCAGGGGAGCAAACGGG
This 253-nucleotide ribosomal RNA is filed under the name uncultured bacterium. RNAcentral describes it as "partial 16S ribosomal RNA". It matches the Rfam family "Bacterial small subunit ribosomal RNA", at positions 524 to 776 of the family's 1533-position model. The record is from RNAcentral.